GAUGAACGCUGGCGGCGUGCCUAAUACAUGCAAGUAGAACGAUGAAGCGAGGAGCUUGCUCUUCUUGGAUGAGUUGCGAACGGGUGAGUAACGCGUAGGUAACCUGCCUGGUAGCGGGGGAUAACUAUUGGAAACGAUAGCUAAUACCGCAUAAAAUUGAUUAUUGCAUGAUAAUUAAUUGAAAGAUGCAACUGCAUCACUACCUGAUGGACCUGCGUUGUAUUAGCUAGUUGGUGAGGUAACGGCUCAACAAGGCGACGAUACAGAGCCGACCUGAGAGGGUGAUCGGCCACACUGGGACUGAGACACGGCCCAGACUCCUACGGGAGGCAGCAGUAGGGAAUCUUCGGCAAUGGGGGGAACCCUGACCGAGCAACGCCGCGGGAGUGAAGAAGGUUUUCGGAUCGUAAAGCUCUGUUGUAAGAGAAGAACGGGUGUGAGAGUGGAAAGUUCACACUGUGACGGUAUCUUACCAGAAAGGGACGGCUAACUACGUG
Molecule: ribosomal RNA, 497 nt
Filed under: uncultured bacterium
Lineage: Bacteria
Description: partial 16S ribosomal RNA
Rfam family: Bacterial small subunit ribosomal RNA
Source: RNAcentral